CUGGCUCCUCAGCUGACUCCACUCAGGUAAUCAACUACCUGCACGGCUCCCGGACAGCUGAUGAUCAUUCACUAACGACUCACCUCUGCAAUAAAGACCGGCUCAGCCUUCCACUCCCUGCCAGAGCGUUAAACAAGAACCACGCAUUCAGCUGUCCGGGAUCCCACGCCAUUCUCCUUCCCCUCCGGCUCUCCCCGACAAACCUUCACCAGUUUCUCCUGCCUGGACCCCCACUCCUGCCUGGACCCCCACUCCUGCCUGGACCCCCACUCCUGCCUGGACCCCCACUCCUGCCUGGAACCCCCCGCUCCUACACCCUGGUUUUCCCCCACCUAGCCACCAUUUUCACCCCCUACAAUAAACCACUUGCAUUCA
Long non-coding RNA from Acanthochromis polyacanthus (spiny chromis), 375 nucleotides. RefSeq lists it as uncharacterized. NCBI's taxonomy places the organism in Eukaryota, Metazoa, Chordata, Actinopteri, Pomacentridae. The record is from RefSeq and is a predicted model, not a curated record. The transcript is spliced from 2 exons.